This 212-nucleotide long non-coding RNA is filed under the name Homo sapiens (human). RNAcentral describes it as "long non-coding RNA NONHSAT014113.2". Lineage: Eukaryota; Metazoa; Chordata; Mammalia; Primates; Hominidae. The record is from RNAcentral.
CGCUCCCCUGCCGCGCUCCCCGCUGCUGCCGCCGCGCCCCCGCGCUCCGUCCCGCGCGCCCGCAGCGUCCUGGCCGCCAUGGCCGGGCUCGUGGUGCGUGGAACUCAAGUGUCCUACAUAGGCCAGGACUGCAGAGAAAUUCCAGAGCACCUUGGCAGGGACUGUGGACAUUUCGCAAAGAGGCUUGAUCUGAGCUUUAACCUUCUGAGGUA